GGUUGGGUUUUGGGGAUGGGUUUUGGUUUAUUUCUUUUGGGUUUCGGUUUGGGCUAUGAGGUCAGAGUCUAUGUAUUUUUUCGUUGGGCUUGAGUGAUAAAAAGACGGGUUGGCCUGCUUGCUUCUCUUGGACUUUCGGCUGGGCUUAGGUAGUGUUUGGUCCAAAGUAAUAAAAUGAUGGCCCGAUGGCCUUUUUCUUACCCAAGGAAGAGACCAAAAUUUGCACUUUAGCCCCUGAUCGUUGGAGUAGGUUUACUUCGGCCCAGAACAUUUUAAAUUUUUUUACUUAGGUCCUUAAAUUAAUUGCACUUUGGUCCUUGAACUUUAUCUUUCAUUUAAUUUUGGCCCC
Molecule: long non-coding RNA, 349 nt
Filed under: Coffea arabica (coffee)
Lineage: Eukaryota; Viridiplantae; Streptophyta; Magnoliopsida; Gentianales; Rubiaceae
Description: long non-coding RNA (CARA_LNC001336)
Source: RNAcentral